This 455-nucleotide ribosomal RNA is filed under the name uncultured eukaryote. RNAcentral's name for it is "SSU rRNA". It matches the Rfam family "Eukaryotic small subunit ribosomal RNA", at positions 1193 to 1674 of the family's 1831-position model. The record is from RNAcentral.
AUUUGACUCAACACGGGGAAACUCACCAGGUCCAGACACAAUAAGGAUUGACAGAUUGAGAGCUCUUUCUUGAUUUUGUGGGUGGUGGUGCAUGGCCGUUCUUAGUUGGUGGAGUGAUUUGUCUGCUUAAUUGCGAUAACGAACGAGACCUUAACCUGCUAAAUAGCCCGGCCCGCUUUGGCGGGUCGCCGGCUUCUUAGAGGGACUAUCGGCUCAAGCCGAUGGAAGUUUGAGGCAAUAACAGGUCUGUGAUGCCCUUAGAUGUUCUGGGCCGCACGCGCGCUACACUGACAGAGCCAACGAGUUCAUUUCCUUGCCCGGAAGGGUUGGGUAAUCUUGUUAAACUCUGUCGUGCUGGGGAUAGAGCAUUGAUAUUAUUGCUGUUCAACGAGGAUGCCUAGUAAGCGUACGUCAUCAGCGUGCUAGAUACGUGCCUGCCCUUGUACUCACCGUCA